Molecule: long non-coding RNA, 249 nt
Organism: Dreissena polymorpha
Lineage: Eukaryota; Metazoa; Mollusca; Bivalvia; Myida; Dreissenidae
Exons: 3
Source: RefSeq, a predicted model, not a curated record
AUUGUAGAUUUUAUCUUCAAACCAGCAAUUGAAGUUAAUCAGUAAUACAUCAGAGUGUUUAAGAAAAUAACAUACGUGACCUUAUAGUGGCCACUAUCACACUCAAGUAUACCCAGUGUGCAAAGCAAAGAAUAGGCAGAUGGUUGCGACUGCAGCCCAAUGUGUUGAACAUAAAUUUCAAGAAGGGAACAAAGAGAGCCGACAUGGCUCAUGCUAUAGACCAGUAUGUCCUGGGGACAGCCGGUGUGG